GCUUUUUAGAUAGAAAGGCACAGGAGAAUAAGAUCCUGAACUCUUUCAGAUAAAAAAAAAAAUGAAAAAAGAAGAACGCUUCAGAGGACUCGCGAGUUUGUUUCAAUUUGUGAAAUCUAAAAUUUCGAGAUCUCAUAUGAUCCUUCCAUGGCUUUGCGUCUCCGUUUCCGUUGAAUUGAUCAUCUCUCGAUACUGGAGUUCAGAUCCAAAGAUGAAAACCAUGUCUAAACUCGAUUCGUGUUGAAUUGUUCGAUUUUAGCAAGGAUUUUCAAUUUCCUUUUAAGGAUUUGAUGAUUCGCAGAUAAUUGAUAGGCUGUGUUUGCGAAGAGGCCUCUCAAUUUCAGAAAGCUUUAAGGUUUGAACAUGUUAGAAACAAGUUCUCAAACUCUGCGUCUUCUUGAACUGGACUUUACACAAGACAAGUCACUUGACAUUUGUGAUUAAAAGGGUAUUUCUUCUAUACGCUCAGAUUCUUUGACCAACGUUCAAUCCCUAGAAGCUGUUAACACUGUAAGUCUAGAAGCUUAAAGGAGGAAUGAGAUAUUAUACAAUGUAUGCUCCAUUUAGUUGGAAGGAGACUCUGGUUUUAUAGGAAGGUGAUCGCAUAGAAAAUGGUAGGAAAUGCUCCAUUUGUUACUUUCUACUCUUUUUUUUUUGUUGCUCUAGUGUUGUUAGUAUUGAUCUGGUAUUUCAUUUUUAACCUUGCGGAGCUGCAAGCCUGCAAGUCAAUCACAACAAUCAUUGAUCUAGCCUGCCUGGCUAUGGUGAUGUAGAGAUCAUGACAGAAGAAAACAAAGAAAGACAGUGGCUAAUGUUGGGUAUGUAGGAUGCAGGAUGCAUGUAUAGAAAGGAUUUGUUAAAUAUCAUAUCAAUGCCCUCGGGUUUCAGUGACGAGUCACAUGAGGAGUCACCGGCGGAUGUGGAAAGCUGCAACGAAAUGGAGAGAGACAACAGAGCAAACAUUGAUAAUAUAUGCUACUGAUGUUAUUAGAGAGUAUAGGUUUCCUUGACAGUAGUAAACAUCUCUUGUAUUUUGUUAUAACUUAUAAGAUUGUGUCCUUGUUAUUAGAUUUCUCUGUAGAGACAUAUCAUGUUUGAAUAUCUGAAUUUUAUAUGGAUUAACUUUUUGGAUU
Molecule: long non-coding RNA, 1133 nt
Organism: Arabidopsis lyrata subsp. lyrata
Lineage: Eukaryota; Viridiplantae; Streptophyta; Magnoliopsida; Brassicales; Brassicaceae
Exons: 5
Source: RefSeq, a predicted model, not a curated record